RNAcentral lists this transfer RNA (73 nucleotides) under Perkinsus olseni. RNAcentral describes it as "tRNA-Ile". It matches the Rfam family "tRNA". From Rfam's summary of the family: Transfer RNA (tRNA) molecules are approximately 80 nucleotides in length. Their secondary structure includes four short double-helical elements and three loops (D, anti-codon, and T loops). Lineage: Eukaryota; Perkinsozoa; Perkinsida; Perkinsidae. The record is from RNAcentral.
GGUCCUGUAGCCCAGUGGUUAGAGCGAUUUUCUUAUGAGCCGUAGGCCGUGGGUUCGACCCCCGUCGGUACUA